Molecule: ribosomal RNA, 253 nt
Filed under: uncultured bacterium
Lineage: Bacteria
Description: partial 16S ribosomal RNA
Rfam family: Bacterial small subunit ribosomal RNA
Source: RNAcentral
UACGUAGGGUCCGAGCGUUGUCCGGAAUUACUGGGCGUAAAGAGCUCGUAGGUGGUUUGUCGCGUUGUUCGUGAAAACUCACAGCUUAACUGUGGGCGUGCGGUCGAUACGGGCAGACUUGAGUACUGCAGGGGAGACUGGAAUUCCUGGUGUAGCGGUGGAAUGCGCAGAUAUCAGGAGGAACACCGGUGGCGAAGGCGGGUCUCUGGGCAGUAACUGACGCUGAGGAGCGAAAGCGUGGGGAGCGAACAGG